CUCCCGUUUCAAACAGUAAUCUUCAAACUCAUUUCCUUUUGUGGAGGUCACAUCCGAAGUUUUGAUUCUUAGAUCCUUUGGAGGGAGUUUUAAAGUCUUUUUCCAGUCAUCACCAGGUUUAAUAGUGGUGGUCAUACUCUGUGCUUGCUGCUGAGUGCCAUUAUUGAUUGUGUUGGUGUUUUUCAGCUGGUUCAUCUGUUGCUGUGUCUGUGUGCCCCCUCCUCCAGGGCCACCAGUGGGUUUCACAGGGCCUCUCAGCUGACCAUUUUGACUGGACAGACCCAUUAUAACAGGGUUCUCUGUUCUGGCCGUGCUCAUGCUGUUUUAAU
Molecule: long non-coding RNA, 329 nt
Filed under: Homo sapiens (human)
Lineage: Eukaryota; Metazoa; Chordata; Mammalia; Primates; Hominidae
Description: LNC_000667
Source: RNAcentral